RNAcentral lists this ribosomal RNA (405 nucleotides) under uncultured bacterium. Its description in RNAcentral is "bacterial SSU rRNA". It matches the Rfam family "Bacterial small subunit ribosomal RNA", at positions 1089 to 1493 of the family's 1533-position model. The record is from RNAcentral.
GCAACGAGCGCAACCCCUGUCCUUUGUUGCCAGCACGUAAUGGUGGGAACUCAAGGGAGACUGCCGGUGAUAAACCGGAGGAAGGUGGGGGUGACGUCAAGUCAUCAUGGCCCUUACGGCCAGGGCUACACACGUGCUACAAUGGCGCGUACAGAGGGCUGCAAGCUAGCGAUAGUGAGCGAAUCCCAAAAAGCGCGUCGUAGUCCGGAUUGGAGUCUGCAACUCGACUCCAUGAAGUCGGAAUCGCUAGUAAUCGCAAAUCAGAAUGUUGCGGUGAAUACGUUCCCGGGCCUUGUACACACCGCCCGUCACACCAUGGGAGUGGGUUGCACCAGAAGUAGAUAGCUUAACCUUCGGGAGGGCGUUUACCACGGUGUGAUUCAUGACUGGGGUGAAGUCGUAACA